AGAGGUUUGAGUCCUGGCGCAGGACGAACGCUGGCGGCGUGCUUACACAUGCAAGUCGAACGGAGUACCCUCGAAAGAGGAUUUCGGUCAAUGGAGAGGACUGCUUAGUGGCGGACGGGUGAGUAACGCGUGAGGAACCUACCUUUCAGUGGGGGACGAACAGUUGGAAACGACUGCUAAUACCGCAUAACGUAUUUGUGUCGCAUGGCAUUGAUACCAAAGAUUUAUCGCUGAGAGAUGGCCUCGCGUCUGAUUAGCUAGUUGGUAGGGUAACGGCCUACCAAGGCGACGAUCAGUAGCCGGACUGAGAGGUUGGCCGGCCACAUUGGGACUGAGAUACGGCCCAGACUCCUACGGGAGGCAGCAGUGGGGAAUAUUGGGCAAUGGGCGCAAGCCUGACCCAGCAACGCCGCGUGAAGGAAGAAGGCUUUCGGGUUGUAAACUCUUUUGACAGGGAAGAGCAGAAGACGGUACCUGUCGAAUAAGCCACGGCUAACUACGUG
This 503-nucleotide ribosomal RNA is filed under the name uncultured Oscillibacter sp. RNAcentral's name for it is "bacterial SSU rRNA". It matches the Rfam family "Bacterial small subunit ribosomal RNA", at positions 1 to 507 of the family's 1533-position model. The record is from RNAcentral. Lineage: Bacteria; Bacillati; Bacillota; Clostridia; Eubacteriales; Oscillospiraceae.